Molecule: ribosomal RNA, 450 nt
Filed under: uncultured bacterium
Lineage: Bacteria
Description: partial 16S ribosomal RNA
Rfam family: Bacterial small subunit ribosomal RNA
Source: RNAcentral
GUGGGGAAUCUUCCGCAAUGGACGAAAGUCUGACGGAGCAACGCCGCGUGAGUGAAGAAGGUUUUCGGAUCGUAAAGCUCUUUCGUUAGGGACGAACGUGCUCUUUGUGAAUAAUGAGGAGUAAUGACGGUACCUAAAUAAGAAGCCACGGCUAACUACGUGCCAGCAGCCGCGGUAAUACGUAGGUGGCAAGCGUUGUCCGGAAUUAUUGGGCGUAAAGCGCGCGCAGGCGGGAUAUCAAGUCUGUCUUAAAAGUGCGAGGCUCAACCUCGUGAGGGGACAGAAACUGGGAUUCUUGAGUGUCGGAGAGGAAAGUGGAAUUCCAAGUGUAGCGGUGAAAUGCGUAGAGAUUUGGAAGAACACCAGUGGCGAAGGCGACUUUCUGGACGAUGUCUGACGCUGAGGCGCGAAAGCUAGGGGAGCGAACGGGAUUAGAAACCCGUGUAGUCC